UUUACCUUUUAUAAUGGUAGAUAUCAAAUCAAUCUGGUAUUUAGAUUCCAUUGGUUAUAUUUUAAAAAGUGAUGUAACAGUUUUGUUUUCAAAUGUCAACAUUUACAAUAUGCCAAAAAUUACAUCCCUUGGGACUAUUUAAAUUUGAUGAAAAAUUUUAGAUGAAAAUUUACAAGUACAGUUAUGCAUGGCUUCAGGAUGGAGACAUUCUGAGAAAUGCGUUGUUGGGCAAUUUCAUCAUUGUGCCAACAUCUUAGAGUGUACUUACACAAACCUAGAUGGCAUAGCCUACCACACAUCUAAGCUAUAUGGUACUAAUCUUGUGGGACUACACGGCCCUUCAUUGACCAAAAGGUCAUAAUUAUACAGGGCAUGAUUGUAUGGAAAAGGAAGCAUAGAUUUCAAAAUAUUUUCCAAUGGAAUAUGAACAAAAAUGGUUGAAAUCCUUAAGUGAUAUCUGAGCAUAUACAGUUCUUUCCAUUCAGGAUUUUAUCAGUGUAAUUCCAUCAAAAAUGCUAACUUCCAGGGAAAGCUGUUGCACAACCUUUAUUCCCAAUGUAUUUAAUACUUGUCAGCAAAUUAUUUCCAGUAUCUAAUGAAUCAUGUCAGAAUUUAAAUCAAAUUCUUCUUCUAUCUCUAGUAAAGGUAUAUAACUACUAUCAAAAUGUUUCUAUUAAAUAACCCAAAAUACACAGACAAAAUUCAUUCCUUGCACUUGCUUUUUCAACCCUUUAAUUCAUUUAUCUAGUUAAAUCAAACUCUUCAAGCAUCACUAAGAAAUCUAUGUAGCAAAAUUGAAAUUCCAUUACUUUCUACUUGACACAGUGUAUAGGAUUUUGAGCUCUUGUAAUGCCAGAUAAAGCUUAAAUGAGGUUUUAAAACCACAUACAUUUUGUAGGUGAAAUCCUGAGCCUCUUUGAACUGGAGCUUACUAUCCUCUCUACCCACAUAAAAGUAUAUUUAAUUCACAAAGAUAAACAGUGGAUUUAGUUAUUAAAAUGGUUUAUAAACUCCAUGUUAACAGUCAAUUUACAGAAGAAAGGAAAGGUUUCAGGGAAUACAGAAUGAGCUAUUUGAACACAAAGCAGUGGUGACCUUCUAGCACACUAGCAAAGCGAAGUUAGGCAUCUUAAUUGGCAGAGAUCAAACAACUGAAAAACCAAAGAACUGAUAUAUCAGAAACAUGAGACAAGUUAAACAACUGCUGAAAAUAAUAUCCUAGUGAACCUAAGCGUCAAAAUAAUAAUGCUAAGAAACAUUUUUAAACACAGUAUGUUUUAGUAUAUAAAGAGAUUCAAAAUAUAUAAAGAGAUUCAAAGAUUCUGGAAUAGUUUAGCCUGGCAGCAUAAUAACACCCUGAGUAAACCCCCACCCCUCACUAUAAGAGUUUACCCUCCAAAGAAGCCUUCAAUAUAUGAACUGAUUUAUCAACAUGUAAGAUGACAAAGUUCCACAUGGCUUGGAUUUCCAAAGGUGAUCAACAACCAUGCCAAAACCAUUUUUAUUAACUUCUGUAAUUACCUGAUAUUCUAUCAUCAAAGACUCCCUUAUACAAAGAAGAAUAAUAUUCUAUUAAAAUAAAAUAAAUUAUUGGUAAAAGCAAACUGUUGGUAAAGAAUAAUUAGCAUAUUUUGCUAUUAAAACAUAUUUAAAUUAAGCUCAAGUCUUAUCUACCAUCUAGUGUUCUAGUUAUUAUUGCUGCAUAACAACUCAAAAACUUGGUGGCUUAAAACAGCAAUAGUUUAUUUCAUUAUUAUUUCUCACGGUUCUGAUGAUUGACUGGGCUCGGCUAGGAAUCCAGAUGAUGUAAAACUUGUCAUCUUACGUGAUGCAAAGUCACGUCAUAUAUUUCAUGAUCCUUCUUUCCAAAGCAAGUGGUUUGGCCUUCUGAGAAAGGGGAGGCAUUUAGUCAAUUAAAGUCCUAUAAUACUCGCAGACUGAACUAUCCCAUAAAAUGCAAAGUAAAUUUUAAUUUUGAAUCCCUUUCUAAGACUUCUCAAAAGUCUCAUCAACCAGAACUUGAGGUCCAAAAUCUUGCCAUCUAAGUCCAAUCCAAGUUGAAAUGAGGCUCUUGGGUUUGUUGGGAACAACUUCUCUGAUAAGAUAUUGAUCACCUUGAAGGCCUAUGAAUUUACAAAGACAGGUUGUCUGUCCUACAUAAACCCAAUACACAAGUACCAAGGCUUUAUAGCAAUAAACACUGCUUUUCAAAAAGGAGGAACCAGAAUGCAUGGAACAGUCACUGGUGUGCAGUAAUUCUGAACGCUAGCUAGGCACACGGUGCUAGGUUUUUGUGUAGAGCCCAGUAUUCCUCCCUGGGAGUGAUUCCCCACAGGUCUUGGAUCUAUUUCCUGAGCUCUUGAUUCAACCCUCUGAGUCAUCCAUCCUUUCUCCAUGAAAAUACAAAGACUGUAACUUAGUCUUAGCUUGCUCUCUGUCGAAAAAUGUUGGGGGUCCAAAGACUUAUUUUAAAUAUACAUUCUCUCUUUCUCUUCUUGUCCAAGUUAACAAUGCUUCCAAGAGAAACAAUAUCAUAACAACUUUGUGAGUUUUCUAUAAAUCUUACUGGAGUUCACACCUUUAGACAAAAUGUACGAUUAUAAAUAAUUACCACGUAGGUCCUUCUUUACCUUGAGCCUCCAGUGAAAGUGCUAUAGCACGACACCCUUGAGAUUCUUAGAAGCCCUGCUGCUAAUGAAGAGGAUUUGCAAAACAUGCCCUUCAGAGUCUUGGAAGGUCUUUUAUCUUUCUAAAGGUUUCAACGAGGCUCCAUUUUAUAUUUCUUAGAGUUCUUCACAAAGAAUCUUGUAGUCUUACCUUAGAUGCAAUCUUGGCAGGGAGGCCUUUUUGUGUUUUUUGUUGGAGAAUUUUUGCCAUCU
Long non-coding RNA from Equus caballus (horse), 2879 nucleotides. The record is from Ensembl. Lineage: Eukaryota; Metazoa; Chordata; Mammalia; Perissodactyla; Equidae.